AUUGCUUCUUUGCUUUGGGCUAAGAUCAAGUGCAAUAUCUGUUCUUAUCACUUUAAUAUCUGAUAUACCCUCUAUCUGAGGACAAUAUAUUAAAUGGAUAUUUGGAGCUGGGAGAUGGAAGAGGAGCUUGCUCCAUCCCCUCCACAUUGACCUGGUACUGCAGUACCUACAGGAACAGUGUUACCACC
Molecule: small nuclear RNA, 188 nt
Organism: Octodon degus (degu)
Lineage: Eukaryota; Metazoa; Chordata; Mammalia; Rodentia; Octodontidae
Gene: U2
Rfam family: U2 spliceosomal RNA
About the family: U2 is a small nuclear RNA (snRNA) component of the spliceosome (involved in pre-mRNA splicing).
Source: Ensembl